AUUGAACGCUGGCGGAAUGCUUUACACAUGCAAGUCGAACGGCAGCACGGACUUCGGUCUGGUGGCGAGUGGCGAACGGGUGAGUAAUACAUCGGAACGUGCCCAGUCGUGGGGGAUAACGUAGCGAAAGCUACGCUAAUACCGCAUACGAUCUAAGGAUGAAAGCGGGGGAUCGCAAGACCUCGCGCGAUUGGAGCGGCCGAUGGCAGAUUAGGUAGUUGGUAGGGUAAAGGCCUACCAAGCCGACGAUCUGUAGCUGGUCUGAGAGGAUGAUCAGCCACACUGGGACUGAGACACGGCCCAGACUCCUACGGGAGGCAGCAGUGGGGAAUUUUGGACAAUGGGCGAAAGCCUGAUCCAGCCAUUCCGCGUGCAGGAUGAAGGCCCUCGGGUUGUAAACUGCUUUUGUACAGAACGAAAAGGUUUCUACUAAUACUAGGAGCUCAUGACGGUACUGUAAGAAUAAGCACCGGCUAACUACGUGCCAGCCGCCGCCGUAA
RNAcentral lists this ribosomal RNA (500 nucleotides) under uncultured bacterium. RNAcentral's name for it is "partial 16S ribosomal RNA". It matches the Rfam family "Bacterial small subunit ribosomal RNA", at positions 30 to 523 of the family's 1533-position model. The record is from RNAcentral.